UUUGUGCAUGUCCACUUCCGGCGCAGUUCAACAAUGGCUGAAACGAAGGCUAGAUGUCACUGCUCUGUUCCACUUUGUAAAUCGAACAAACAACGCCAACCCUACUUAAGUUUCCAUGGAUUCCCGACUGAAUUGAGUCUAAGGAAGAAGUGGAUUAAAGCGGUUCGCCGGGAUGAGGGGCCAAACUUUAAAAUAAAACAAGGUAGCACGUUUGUUUGUAGCCGGCACUUUAGUGAAUCAGACUACACUAACGCUACAGGUAGUGCUAGCAGGCUAGCGUUACCUGACGUGGCUAACUUUACCAACCGAGGUCGCAUCAAGCGUCUGCAAAUCGGUUCUGUGCCCUCCCGUUUCCAGUGGAACAACUGGGGACUGCCAAGAAGGGAGUCUGCUUAUAAAAGAGCAUCAACUCGCUUAGGCCAUGACGUUUGUCCAGCCCUUCCUCUGGAGCAGCCCCUACCAUGUGAGGAAGAGGCGAUGGAGGAGGUCGCUGCUUCGGUGGUGAUGACAGAACAUGAUUACGGUUCUGCUCUUAAACCAGGUGCACUGGAUGCUGCUGCUGCACACAUACAGCAACUGGAAGACAAAAUCAAGGAGCUGACAACAGAGCUGUCACAGCUGAAAAGUUGCUGCAGGCCUGCAAGAGAAGGUGCUGGCUGACAUGUUUCAGGUCAGUGUGUCCACUGUCUCCCGUGUUGUUAUAACGUGGGCCAACUACCUUUACCUGCUCCUUGGCUCCCUUCCCAUCUGGAUGAGUAAACAGCAAGUCAAGAACACCAUGCCAAGCAAAUUUGUGCAGUACAGUCCAGAUGUUCGGGUAAUCAUCGACUGCACCGAGGUGCGAUGCCAGAAUCCAUCAUCCCUCACUCUCCAGUCUGAGGUUUUCUCAUCGUACAAAAACACGACAACCUUGAAGGGAUUAAUUGGGAUUGCCCCAUGUAGUGCUGUGACUUUUGUGUCAAGUCUCUUCACCGGCUCCAUCUCUGACCGAGAGCUGACUGAACAAAGUGGACUGCUGGACUUACUGGAGCCAGGAGAUGGCUGCAUGGCAGACAAGGGUUUCACCAUCGAGAAGCUGCUAGCUGACCGUGGGGCAAUGCUGAUUAUACCACCCUUCAAGAUGACAGCGCAGUUCACCAAAGAGGAUGCUCUAAAAACACAAGCAAUCGCCCGACUUCGAAUCCUCGUGGAAAGAGCAAUACGCAGAGUCAAGGAAUAUCGCAUCUGGGAACACACUCUCCCUCUAACCUUGUCUGGGACAGUCAACCAGCUGUGGACCGUCUGCUGUGUGAUGACCAACUUCCAGGGACCACUUGAUUUAAAAGGCUACAUCCCUGUUGAAUAGUGUUUCCCCCGAUCACAUGCAUUCAACUGUAUACUGAAUACAUUGUAUAUAUUGAAUGAGAUGUAUAUAAUGAAUGAGAAGUCAUUCAUCUAUAAUCAAUUGUAAAGGUCAGUCCAUCCUGAAAGUAUUCAAAUAAUGUAAAUAUGUAAAUGUACUCAGAAAAAGGGAAUUAAUAAAAUCUUUUAUUCAUUCAU
Molecule: RNA transcript, 1539 nt
Organism: Osmerus eperlanus (European smelt)
Lineage: Eukaryota; Metazoa; Chordata; Actinopteri; Osmeriformes; Osmeridae
Exons: 4
Source: RefSeq, a predicted model, not a curated record